UCAGCCGCCGCGGUAAUACGGAGGAUGCAAGCGUUAUCCGGAUUCAUUGGGUUUAAAGGGUGCGUAGGCGGCUUUUUAAGUCAGUGGUGAAAUCUUGCCGCUUAACGGUAAAAUUGCCAUUGAUACUGAUAAGCUUGAGUACAAUUGAGGUAAGCGGAAUGUGUAGUGUAGCGGUGAAAUGCUUAGAUAUUACACAGAACACCGAUUGCGAAGGCAGCUUACUAAACUGUUACUGACGCUGAUGCACGAAAGCGUGGGGAGCGAACAGGAUUAGAUACCCUGGUAGUCCACGCCGUAAACGAUGAUCACUCGCUGUAUGCGAUACACAGUAUGCGGCCAAGCGAAAGCAUUAAGUGAUCCACCUGGGGAGUACGAUCGCAAGGUUGAAACUUAAAGGAAUUGGCGGGGGA
Molecule: ribosomal RNA, 410 nt
Filed under: uncultured bacterium
Lineage: Bacteria
Description: bacterial SSU rRNA
Rfam family: Bacterial small subunit ribosomal RNA
Source: RNAcentral